CUUUUGUGAAGCAAUCGAUGCAUUAUGUUUUGCCAGUUUAGCAAAUCUUCUUUCUAACCAACCUGACUAAACAUUUCUUUGAAUGCUGAAAAAAUGUGCAAGAGAUAAAAUAUUAAAAAGAAAACCACAUUCAAACAUACAGUAAAAUUUUCAAAAGGGGAUGAAACCUUCUCAUGUGCAUAAAUUGUUUUUUGUUUGGUGAUUUGAUGAUAUAAUAAAUCAGUGACUUUGAUUUUGGUGAAAUGACUCUAGAUGAAGUAUAUUACUUCAAAGGAAAACAAGGAAUAAAGAAAAUUAAAUGAAUUAUGUAAUAAACAUGAAUAGUAGGUUAAAGACAAGGGCAAAGAAAAAGGUAUGAAUCUUUUAAAUUUUCUUUCACUUUAAAAAGUAUCUGGGGUUCUCAUUGUGGCUCAACGGUAAUGAACCCAACUAGUGUCUAUAAGGACGAGGGUUAGAAGCCUGGCCUCACUCAGUGGGUCCCAUGAGCUGUGGUGUAGGUCGCAGACGUGACCUGGAUCCUGUAUUGCUGUGGCUGUGGUGUACGUCAGAAGCUGCAUCUCCAAUUCGAUUCCUAGCCUGGGAACUUCCAUAUGCGAAGGGUGCAGUCUUAAAAAGACAUUAAAAAAAAAAAAAAGAAAAGAAAAGAAAAGCUGAUGUGCUUAAUUGUUUGGCAAAUAAAUAUGCAAAGUUCUAUUUAGUGAUAAGAAUAUGCAAUUCAUAAAUAAAUAAGAGCAAGUGAAUUUUCCAGAUGUAAUUAAUAAUUACACGUGGACAUGGAUUUCUUAAAUUUCUUUGAAAAUUAAAAAAACUAUUUGUAGUUGUUCUUGUUUUUAUUUAUUUUGUUUUUGUUUUUGUUUUUUUCUUUCUUCCUCAGAAAAUAUUAUCUGGAGACAAAGAAUGUAAUUUUGUUGGAAAACAUUUCUCUUAUUAGAUGCAUGUACCUUUGCAAAACUGAUACUAGUAAUGGUCUUAAGGUCCUGUAGAUAAGCCCCUGGCUGUUUACUAAUUGAAUUGGAAAGAUCUUUCGUAAUUCAAUAUUUACUGAUCUUUACCGCUUUAAGUUACCCAAAUAAAUUAAGGAUACAACCAAACAAGCAAACUCAAGUGGAAAAUUGACUUUCUUCAGAUAAACUUUUUCUGGGCUACUAAAAAAAUUAAUGGGAUAUUAUUUAAUUAGCUAUUGAUUUAUUUUACCCUAGAUCUUUUAGAAAAUUGGGCAGAUAUUUAGUUUUCUAGUUGUACAUUUAUAGAAUUGGAAUUGGAACCAGUAUUUGUACUAGACAGUAUCAAAAGGAAAAUCUUGUUCAUUAAUGACUGUUGACAAAGAUAAAAGCUUCAUCAUUUCUGUUUAAAAUGAGAUUUGUCAGAGGCACCAGUCCCCACAGUAAAAUAAUAAGGAAGAAAUUGGGGAUGAAUUGGUAAAAGUGGGUAUCAUACACCCUAUUUUUCAAAGCAGGAAUCCCAAGUUGAUAUGGCAUAUCAUUGAAUGUUGGAAGCUACGAGGGAGGACAUUCUUUCUUAAGGAAGUAGAAGAAUGAUUAAGAGCCUUGUUGAGAUUCAGGGCUGGGGGUCUGGGAGGAGAAAGACAAUGGAAGGGUAUGUGUCCAGGCAAGGUGGGUGGCAGAAAAGACAUUCAAGCAGUUCUCCAUAACUAGGGCAGAGAGGGCAAGCCGGGAAGUGCUGAGAAAAGGGGCUGGGAAAGGAGAUCAGGACAGACCUGGCAAGUCCUGGAAUGGGUUGUUGGACCCUGGCCCAUUAUAAUAAAACUGUGAAGGGACUUAGAAGAAUCCUGGUAAUGGGACCGUAUUUGCUGUUGAGAAUGUUGCACUACUGGCAAGGCUGAGGGAAGAGGCCUUGGCCAUAGGAAGAAGCGCAGAAUAGGACAGACAAUUUGGUCAUUUAGGGAUUAUCCUUUCAAAAGCCCUCAGUGUGUGAGGGAGGUGAAACCAUGUCUGGAGAGAACCUCAUACUUCAGGGAAGAUUUCUGUUUUUCAGAUAGAAAAUUUGGACGUGUUUACUCUAUGAGCCAUUGGAGGGCAGAAUUGAAAACAGAAGAGAUGCAAUAAUCAAUCUGUAAACUGAGUAGUCAAAGGAGAGGGGCCUUGGAAACAGGCUAUGCUCAGUUAAGGUUUAGAGUGAAUGAAUAAAUAUACUUGUGGGUUUUCUGCUUUUCAGUGCAUGGUGGGUGAUGUCAUAUUAAUCCAUCAUACCUACAAGGCACGUGGCAAAGGACUUGAGGAGAAUCCCACACCCCCUGGCAUUUCGAAGGGGUACUUAAUGCUACUGGAAUUUUCCAACCUGGAUAGUUAAGUUCAUUAUAAAACAGGAUGAUUUCUAGAUUUUUUUUUUCUGAUUAUCAUAAUGCAAAAUUUCUAUAAGUACAUUUUCUUCAUCUUCCAUGCUUCUUUCCCCCUUAUUCCUGGUGUAUGUUCAGUCAUUUCUUGACCCAUCAUGAUCUUUGACAGAAGUAUUUUUAUAUCAUUCGAUGGCAUAUUACAGCUUGUUUUAUUAUGGUAGAUGUUUUUUCUUAAAAUUAUUUUUCAGUAAGAAAAAUACAAAUGAGUCAAGAAAUAGAAUGAGUCAAGUUAAUCUGAUGUUAAAGGUAAAAAUAAUAUAUAACCUGCUCUAGGGUUCAUCUUGGAUUAAUAAAUUGCAGAAGAUAAAUGAGUAGAAACAUCAAUUAUCAGCUUUCACUAGCCAUAGAACAUUCUCGAAGCAAGAUAAUAGAGUUUUAAUAACAAGUUAAUUAUAAGGGCCAGCACUUAAUUCCUUGGAGGACUGCUUUUCUGUUAAUCCUGGAAAGGAUUCAAAUAAGACCUAAUUCACUAAUCUCUUUCCCUCUUUUUUUUUUUUUAACCUCCUCUUCCUCCUUGUCCUCUGUGUAUUUGACUACAAAAGCAAUAAUAACAAGAGAAUUUGCUUUUGAAAAGAAGAAGAUGUACCUUGCCUUGUUGCUAUAUCUAUUUUCUUUUCUGUUACCUGGAAGUCUCCACCUAUGUGUAUAUAUAUUUUGCAUCAACGAAAUCAUAAUGUACAUAAGCUUUUGUAUUCUGAUAUUACACUAAAUAAUACUUUUUUUUUCAUUUCUAAGUGUGAAUAAAACUCAUUUGCCCUGAUACACUAUUAUAUGUUUAACUGUCCCCCUAUUGUUGAGAUAGAAGGUUUUACUUUUCUCUGCUUAAAUAUUUCAUACUAUAACAAAUAUCAUCUAAAGAUAAAUUCCUAGGAACAGAAAUAUUAGAUUAAUUAAUAGGAACAUAAUUGUAGUACUUGCUCUUUACUGACCUCUUGCUCCUUAAAUAUGAACCAAAUUGUAAAUAACAUCGCUGGCCCUGAAAUUGCAUCUGUUAUGACAUAAUUAUUUUAGCCUUCAGCAUUAUCAAGUUUAAUGGUUUAUUAUUCAGGAAGAGUUGAAAUGUUAUAUCAUUUCUCUUUUUUGAUUAUUAAUACAUUCAUUGUAAAAAAUUGUGAAUUUAAGACCAACAUAUAAAUGCUUAAUAAUUUAUGUAUUAGUAAACCAAAAAUAGCCUAUUAAUAAUGAAAACAUUGUUUAAUGUCUUUCAGGUUAAGAAAUAUUUAAUGGGUAGACAACAGCUUUAAAUAAACACACAAAAAAUGAAAUCAACUAAUUUAAAUUGUAGAUAAAGAGCAAUUUCUAAAAUAACUAUUAAAGAGUUGUUCCAAGAGGAAGUAUUACUUACUUUUAAAAAUGUUCCUCGAAUGUGUGAAAAAUAUUUAAAGUGUUAAUCUACUUUCCCGCUACUCAGAUAAUUGCUAAUCCCAGCCACUGAAAUUAAUGUCAACUUUGUUUAGAUCAGCCAUAAUUGUGUAGUUUAAUUCCAUCAUUUGAAAAUAAUAGCAUUCUUGGGUAUGUUUGUUCAUUAUAUAACUUUUUACAUUUAUUUUGAAUCUACCUCAUUUUGUGAUCCUAUAUUUAUUACUACUUUUCUAAAUUAUUUUUAAGAAUCAUAGAAUUUUUAAGAUCAUUUACAAAACUAGAAAAUACUUUAGUCGUCUUGGGUUAAUAAUAUAGCUCUCCCAAAGGUGGAGAAACAGAAAUAUAUUUAUAUAUAUUUGGAAAAUGUAUAUAUGAUAAUAUCCACCAAAGCAUUUUUCAAGGGUGCCAGUUUUAUAAAUUCAUGGUUUGGCCCAUAUUGAUAUAAAAUCUUAUUCCUUGUAUCUUUUUAGAGGAGAGAGCAAUUUGGUUGAAUCUUGGAUUUAGUUUUUGAAAUUUUGGGAAAUGAUUUUGUAAUCAAAUAAUGUGCUUCUAGAAUCAUGUAAGAUCAAUCCAAACUCAUAGAAAUUGAGACCACUUACAAAUAACCAAUUCUCAUUUUUUUAAAAUGGCAUUGUCUCCUUGAAAAUAUUUUGAAAUCCUUGUUUUUCUGAAUAUAUUACUUUGCAGUAUGAAUAAUAGCAGGGAAAAGUCCUUCGUACCAUCCCUGUAGUUAUUCCUCCUACUCAUUAUUUCUCCUACUCAUUCACCUUCUCUCUUCAAAUCAGAGGGAAUAGGCAGAUCCAGAAAAGAUUUAUGGUUGGGGUGGAGAGAAACUGCAUUCUUUGAAGAACAGAGAAUAAAAAUGCCAUAGACAGACUGGCCUUGAGAUUGGAG
Molecule: long non-coding RNA, 4612 nt
Filed under: Sus scrofa (pig)
Lineage: Eukaryota; Metazoa; Chordata; Mammalia; Artiodactyla; Suidae
Description: lncRNA (ENSSSCG00055011161.1)
Source: RNAcentral